GACGAACGCUGGCGGCGUGCUUAACACAUGCAAGUCGAACGGUAAGGCCCUUCGGGGUACACGAGUGGCGAACGGGUGAGUAACACGUGGGUGAUCUGCCCUGCACUUCGGGAUAAGCCUGGGAAACUGGGUCUAAUACCGGAUAGGACCACUGCCUGCAUGGGUGGUGGUGGAAAGCUUUUGCGGCGUGGGAUGGGCCCGCGGCCUAUCAGCUUGUUGGUGGGGUGAUGGCCUACCAAGGCGACGACGGGUAGCCGGCCUGAGAGGGUGACCGGCCACACUGGGACUGAGAUACGGCCCAGACUCCUACGGGAGGCAGCAGUGGGGAAUAUUGCUCAAUGGGCGCAAGCCUGAUGCAGCGACGCCGCGUGAGGGAUGACGGCCUUCGGGUUGUAAACCUCUUUCAGCACCGACGAAGCGCAAGUGACGGUAGGUGCAGAAGAAGGACCGGCCAACUACGUGCCAGCAGCCGCCGUAA
RNAcentral lists this ribosomal RNA (478 nucleotides) under uncultured bacterium. RNAcentral describes it as "partial 16S ribosomal RNA". It matches the Rfam family "Bacterial small subunit ribosomal RNA", at positions 28 to 523 of the family's 1533-position model. The record is from RNAcentral.